Molecule: RNA transcript, 3783 nt
Organism: Poecile atricapillus (Black-capped chickadee)
Lineage: Eukaryota; Metazoa; Chordata; Aves; Passeriformes; Paridae
Gene: ARHGAP10
Gene name: Rho GTPase activating protein 10
Exons: 24
Source: RefSeq, a predicted model, not a curated record
UCCCGGCGGGGCUGCCGGGAGGGCGGCUUCGCUGAGCUCGGCUGGCUGGUCCGUGCCCAGCCGUGCUCGGGGGGAGCUGCUGCUCCGUCUUUGUGGCCUCGGCUGCGGAGGGCGGCGGUGCUGCGGUUCUCAGGGAGGCGAGCCCCGGCGCGGCGGCGGCAGCCAUGGGGCUGCAGCCCCUGGAGUUCAGCGACUGCUACCUGGACAGCCCCUGGUUCAGGGAGAGGGUGAGAGCCCACGAGGCCGAGCUGGAGAAGACCAAUAAGUUUAUCAAGGAGUUGCUGAAGGAUGGGAAGAACCUGAUCGCCGCGACCAAGAACCUCUCAGCAGCCCAGAGAAAAUUUGCCCACUCUCUCAGAGACUUUAAAUUUGAAUUCAUUGGUGAUGCAGAGACUGAUGAUGAGAGAUACAUAGAUGCAUCACUUCAUGAGUUUUCAAACUUUUUAAAAAAUCUUGAAGAACAAAGAGAAAUUUUGGCACUCAGUGUUACUGAAACUCUGAUCAAACCUUUGGAAAGAUUUAGGAAAGAGCAACUAGGAGCUGUAAAGGAGGAAAAGAAGAAGUUUGAUAAAGAGACAGAGAAAAACUACAGUUUGUUAGAAAAACAUUUGACUUUAUCAGCUAAGAAGAAAGAGCUACAAUUACAAGAGGCUGACAGCCAAGUGGAGCAGAACAGGAAGCACUUCUAUGAGCUGUCCCUUGAGUACGUGUGCAAGUUGCAGGAGAUACAGGAGCGGAAGAAAUUUGAGUGUGUGGAGCCUGUGCUAUCAUUUUUUCAGGGUUUAUUCACUUUCUAUCACCAGGGAUAUGAACUUGCUAAAGACUUCAAUCAUUACAAAACGACCCUGCAGAUAAAUAUACAAAAUACACGAAAUCGUUUUGAAGGAACAAGAUCAGAGGUAGAGGAGCUCAUGAACAAGAUCAGAAGAAAUCCUCAGGAGCAUAAAAGAGCAAAUCACUUCACGAUGGAAGGCUACCUCUAUGUACAGGAAAAAAGGCCGGCUCCCUUUGGUUCCAGUUGGGUGAAGCACUAUUGCAUGUACAGGAAAGAGACAAAGAAGUUCUCCAUGAUCCCAUUUGAACACAGAUCAGGAGGGAAAGUUGGUGAUGCGGAACUCUUUGUCCUUACGUAUUGUACCAAAAGAAAUACAGAUACAAUAGACAGGCGAUUCUGUUUUGACUUAGAAGCUUCAGACAGGCCUGGCGUUCCUGUGACCAUGCAGGCAUUUUCUGAAGAAGACAGGAAGCUGUGGAUGGAAGCCUUGGAUGGAAAAGAAGCUCUGCUCAUCAACUUGAAUAGAGCGAAUCCAAAACAAGAGGGAAGUGCACAGUUGGAUAAGAUAGGGUUCACCAUCAUCAAAAAGUGCAUCAGUGCUGUUGAAACACGAGGUAUAAAUGACCAAGGAUUGUACAGAGUUGUGGGGGUGAGUUCAAAGGUCCAGAGACUUCUGAGUUUGUUGAUGGAUUCAAAAACCUGCAAUGAAGUUGACCUGGAAAACUCUGUAGAUUGGGAAGUGAAGACAAUUACUAGUGCUAUGAAGCAGUAUCUGCGAAGCCUUCCAGAGCCACUGAUGACGUACGAGUUGCAUGGAGAAUUCAUCCUUCCUGCCAAAAGUGGGAGUCCUGAAUCUCGAGUCAGUGCUGUUCACUUCUUGGUCCACAAACUCCCAGAAAAGAACAAGGAGAUGCUGGAAAUUUUGGUGAAACAUUUAGCGAAUGUUUCAAAGCAUGCCAAGAGGAAUCUAAUGACUGUGGCAAACCUAGGAGUAGUAUUUGGACCAACCUUAAUGAGGCCACAGGAAGAAACUGUAGCAGCCAUCAUGGACCUGAAGUUUCAGAAUAUUGUCGUUGAAAUCCUGAUAGAAAAUCAUGAAAAGAUUUUCAAAACCCUGCCUGAUGCUACUUUCCCUGAGCCAAUCUCUAUGUCAGUAUCUCCUCCAAAUGCCCCACCAAGGCAGUCAAGAAGACAAGGACAGCGUAUUAAGAGGCCUCUGGCUGUUUACAAUCUCUGCCUGGAGUUGGAAGAUGCUGACAGUCACAGCUCUCCCAGAGAAGACACCCCAACUGGGAGCAUGGAUUCUCUUUCUUCCCAGUCCCCGACACCUGCCUUCUCCAGCAGCCCCCCUGGGCUCUUGGAUGGAAAUCACCUUAUCAUGGACAGCGGAGAUCUUGCAGGCUGGACAACAAACCUUCCAGCUCAGAGCCGCCCGUCAAUGGUCUCAUGGAUGAAUAUUCCAUCUGCUAACCCGGCUGCCACAAAUGCUGCACUACCCACUUUCUUCUUCCCCAACCCUGCCUCUGGCACUGACAGAGCAGUGGAAAGUGUUGCCCACCGAAAAGCAAGAGCAGUUUAUCCAUGUGAAGCAGAACACAGCUCUGAAUUGUCAUUUCAGAUAGGAGCAAUAUUUGAAGAUGAUGUUGAUAGCAGUGGUUCUCUCUCACCUGUCAUUACUCUGGAUGAAUCUUUCUGGCUGCUCCAGCCUCAGACAGGAUAAUGGCAUUUAGGGAAGUAGUCUUGCACCUGUCAUAGCUGCCAAAUGUAAUAUUGGUGCAAGAAGUGCAAUUUUCCAGAGAGCCAGGAUGGCUAGAAGGCACGUUAAAUGGCAAGAGAGGACUAAUUCCACAAAAUUAUGUUCAGUUUUUAUAGCUUUGUGCAUUGAACGCCAAGAAGGUGUACAUGGUAUCCAUGGAUUUUUGUUCUAGUCACUUGUCUCUACUUCUGUGACUGCUUUUAAUCAGUGAAGAGCUGGACUACGGAUUGAAGAUCUUAAAUCUGUAUAAAGACAUUAAGUGUUGCCAAACAUGAAUUACAAAGAAAGAUUCUUUGGGGGUUGGAAUGGAUGGGGGCAAGAAAGAGGAAUGGAGGGAUAGCUCAAUUUUUUAAUAGGUUGCUUGUUUUUUCAGUUGUAAAGAGCAGUAGUAGUAUGUUUGUUUGCAAGAUAAAUAGCUUUUGAAGUCAAGUAUUUGGUUGAUCUGUGAAUCAACUUAGUGUCCUGGAGAUUAUGCUUUGAUAACCAGCAUUUUUAACAGAAUGUGAGGAUGAUGAGGCCCUGGCACAGGUUGCCCAGAGCAGCUGUGGCUGCCCGUCCCUGGAAGUGUUCAAGGACAGGUUGGAUGAGGCUCUGACCAGCCUGGUAUAGUGGAAGGUGUCCCUGCCCAUGGCAGGGGAUUGGAACUACAUGAUCUUUAAGGUCCCUCCCUACCCAAUCCAUUCUAUGAUUCUAUGAUCAUUUUAGGUUUGGAAGAUACUGAUGGAUAAAAAAAGCUAUCAUGCUGACAAUUAAAUUAUAUUUCAGAGUGGAAUAGCCAGUGCAGAACAGACAUCAGUAAGUAAAAAUAAUAGUUACCAAGACAUGACAUUUUUCAAAUGUCUUCAAAGAGCACAUUCAUUUAUGUUGCGUGUAUGAUUUCAUUUAUUUUAUAAAGAUAAGACACAUGAACUUUUAUUACAGGCUCCUAUAUGUCAUGGUUCCUUUGCUACUCAAAAAUAUCACUGUAAAUGAAAUAAAAUGUUAUUUGUUAUUUGACUUGUCAUUCCUAUGUUGCAGAGUAUUUUGCUCUGGUUCUGGAAGCUGUGGCAUGAAAUAAUUAUUGGCAGCUCUGUGCAGUCAGCCUCAAGCAAGCUCCAAAAGGGAUGGGGAGCUUUCCUCACACAAAAUGGACAGCUCUGGAAGUUCAAGCCAAAUGGGAAAAGAGAAUCUCUGGCUAUGAUGCUUUUGCGUCCUGGAGAAUUCCUGCAUUUUAUCUCUUGUCUCUUUUAUCUGCUUGCUCACCUUGCCUGUC